CUCCUGUUGUGAGUUUACGAGCCAGUUCACAGCAUUUAAAAGAGACUGACUGCAGCAGUGUUUCAGCUCCUCACAGCUGGAGACACAGCGCCCUCUGCUGGAGGGAAGUCAGACCAACAUCCACACUGAGGGUCAACAUGUUCAGUAAACUUCUGCCAGAAGAGAACUGAUGGGAAAAUACAACUAAAGCAGAUCUGACUGCAUGUACGUACACCGAGGAGUCUGCAGGGGAUACGAGACACUGACGUUUGUAGACAUUGUGUCUCUUUGUAGUUGUGUUGUGUCUCUUUGUAGUCGUGUUGUGUGUCUUUGUAGUCGUGUUGUGUCUCUUUGUAGUCGUGUUGUGUCUCUUUGUAGUCGUGUUGUGUCUCUUUGUAGUGUGUCUCUUUGUAGUCGUGUUGUUGUGUCUCUUUGUAGUCGUGUUGUGUCUCUUUGUGUCUCUUUGUAGUCGUGUUGUUUCUCUUUGUAGUCGUGUUGUGUCUCUUUGUGUCUCUUUGUAGUCGUGUUGUUUCUCUUUGUAGUCGUGUUGUGUCUCUUUGUGUCUCUUUGUAGUCGUGUUGUUUCUCUUUGUAGUCGUGUUGUGUCUCUUUGUGUCUCUUUGUAGUCGUGUUGUUUCUCUUUGUAGUCGUGUUGUGUCUCUUUGUAGUCGUGUUGUGUCUCUUUGUGAUUUCCUAACCAGAGAUCUCAGUAGUAGUUUCACACAGAGGUUCUGUCCGGUUCACUAAUCUGUCCGUAGUUGUUACA
Molecule: long non-coding RNA, 744 nt
Filed under: Cottoperca gobio
Lineage: Eukaryota; Metazoa; Chordata; Actinopteri; Perciformes; Bovichtidae
Description: lncRNA (ENSCGOG00000012413.1)
Source: RNAcentral